RNAcentral lists this ribosomal RNA (624 nucleotides) under Triticum aestivum (bread wheat). Its description in RNAcentral is "partial small subunit ribosomal RNA". Lineage: Eukaryota; Viridiplantae; Streptophyta; Magnoliopsida; Poales; Poaceae. The record is from RNAcentral.
AUGGGGCUCUGGAUCUUUAAUCAGGCAUUAGCACGCCAAGAGAUCAUGAGGAUGAUUGUGUUGCAUGAAUUGGCAUUCUCAUUGGUGGAGUACGAUGGAUUUAGAAGAUUUUUCUCUAGUCAAAAUCCUAGCUUCAAGAUGAUAUGUCGAAAAGCAAUGAAGGAGGACUGCAUGAAAGCAUUUAAGGAAGAGAAGAGAAUUCUGCAAAGGAUCUUCCAAAACUCCAAAUCCAAGAUUUAUUUGACUACGGAUCUGUGGACAUCAAAUCAGACAGUGGGGUACAUUUUCAUCACAACCCACUUCAUUGAUGAGGAGUGGAAGCUGCAGAAGAGGAUAGUGAAAUUUGCAGCUAUGGAGACGCUGCACACAGGAGGUGCAAUGUUCAACUUCAUGGUGAAUUUCAUAAGAGAGUGGAACAUUGAAGAUAAUCUCUUUGUUGUGACGCUAGACAAUGCAUCGAACAAUGGUGCAAUGAUGAAGAUAUUGAAGGCACAUCUCCUUCUUAAGAAGAUGUUGUUGGGGAACGUAGCAUGCAAUUUAAAAAAAUUUCCUACAAUCACGCGGGAUCUAUCUAGGAGAUGCAUAGCCACGAGAGGGGGAGAGUGUGUCCACAUACCCUCGUAG